UGCAAGUCGAGCGGAAACGAUGGAGCUUGCUCCAGGCGUCGAGCGGCGGACGGGUUGAGUAAUGCAUAGGAAUCUGCCCGGUAGUGGGGGAUAACCUGGGGAAACCCAGGCUAAUACCGCAUACGUCCUACGGGAGAAAGCAGGGGAUCUUCGGACCUUGCGCUAUCGGAUGAGCCUAUGUCGGAUUAGCUUGUUGGUGAGGUAAUGGCUCACCAAGGCGACGAUCCGUAGCUGGUCUGAGAGGAUGAUCAGCCACAUCGGGACUGAGACACGGCCCGAACUCCUACGGGAGGCAGCAGUGGGGAAUAUUGGACAAUGGGCGAAAGCCUGAUCCAGCCAUGCCGCGUGUGUGAAGAAGGCUUUCGGGUUGUAAAGCACUUUCAGUGAGGAAGAAGGCCUUGGGGCUAAUACCCCCGAGGAAGGACAUCACUCACAGAAGAAGCACCGGCUAACUCCGUGCCAGCAGCCGCGGUAAUACGGAGGGUGCGAGCGUUAAUCGGAAUUACUGGGCGUAAAGCGCGCGUAGGCGGCGUGAUAAGCCGGUUGUGAAAGCCCCGGGCUCAACCUGGGAACGGCAUCCGGAACUGUCAGGCUAGAGUGCAGGAGAGGAAGGUAGAAUUCCCGGUGUAGCGGUGAAAUGCGUAGAGAUCGGGAGGAAUACCAGUGGCGAAGGCGGCCUUCUGGACUGACACUGACGCUGAGGUGCGAAAGCGUGGGUAGCAAACAGGAUUAGAUACCCUGGUAGUCCACGCCGUAAACGAUGUCGACUAGCCGUUGGGGUCCUUGAGACCUUUGUGGCGCAGUUAACGCGAUAAGUCGACCGCCUGGGGAGUACGGCCGCAAGGUUAAAACUCAAAUGAAUUGACGGGGGCCCGCACAAGCGGUGGAGCAUGUGGUUUAAUUCGAUGCAACGCGAAGAACCUUACCUACCCUUGACAUCGUGCGAACUUGGUAGAGAUACCUUGGUGCCUUCGGGAACGCACAGACAGGUGCUGCAUGGCUGUCGUCAGCUCGUGUUGUGAAAUGUUGGGUUAAGUCCCGUAACGAGCGCAACCCUUGUCCCUAUUUGCCAGCGAUUCGGUCGGGAACUCUAGGGAGACUGCCGGUGACAAACCGGAGGAAGGUGGGGACGACGUCAAGUCAUCAUGGCCCUUACGGGUAGGGCUACACACGUGCUACAAUGGCCGGUACAAAGGGUUGCGAAGCCGCGAGGUGGAGCUAAUCCCGGAAAGCCGGUCUCAGUCCGGAUCGGAGUCUGCAACUCGACUCCGUGAAGUCGGAAUCGCUAGUAAUCGUGAAUCAGAAUGUCACGGUGAAUACGUUCCCGGGCCUUGUACAC
This 1339-nucleotide ribosomal RNA is filed under the name Halomonas sp. RNAcentral describes it as "bacterial SSU rRNA". It matches the Rfam family "Bacterial small subunit ribosomal RNA", at positions 56 to 1388 of the family's 1533-position model. Lineage: Bacteria; Pseudomonadati; Pseudomonadota; Gammaproteobacteria; Oceanospirillales; Halomonadaceae. The record is from RNAcentral.